CAUAAGCACUGUUGAACUUAAGUUGGGUAUUAUCCAACUUAAAUGGGUUUGACUCGGCAAAACACAUUUUAUUUUUAUUUUUAUUUUUAUUUUUAUUUUUCUGCUUUGCUUUCAAAAGAUCGCUCCCUUAGCUCUCUCUCCUAAAAUCUGCAGCGAUUGCCCAUCAAUCUCACCACUGCUCACCCACCAAACACAACCAUCAAUUCCAAACACAGUAGCCAUCACCAAUUAGUCCAAUACAUACCCAAAUAGCAAUCCCCAAUCUAAAGAGAGACGUAUUUGCAGGCCACUAUCGCCACCAUCUCCGUCAGACUGAACUUCGAGCACAGACUACCAUCGCCGGAAUGAACUUUUCCGACCACUCGCCAUCACGUGCUCAUGCGAGUAGAUCUAACGUUUUUACAUGCGUACAUGCGCCUCUUCCUCUUUGACGAUUGCAAUACAAGCACAGAUCCAAACCCUUCACAAAUUACUUCUAUCCAAUCCACUGGCUGCAAAUCCUCCAUUCUCUCCAACGCCGUGAAGAUACCGUCCGCCUACCGCUCGUACAUAGUCUGCACACUCGUGAAGAAGAUCUCAACCGUCAAGGUGGAGGACUGGGAUGGUUGGAUGAGGAAUUAGGACGGCGUGGUGGAGAUCGAGGAAGAUGUUUGUAGAGAGAGAAAGGAUAGAAUCUCACAUAAAUGGGUUUUACCCGAAAAUAGAUGGGCAUUGCCCAAUUUAAUUUAAUAUUUAUUAUAGACACAUGUUGACAUUCUAUUAGACCACGUACCCAGGUUGGACAAACUUCAUCCAACCUGGGUUGGAUGCAAAUAUUGUCCAAAGAGAAAUGGAGAAAUGGAGAAUUGGUGGGUAGUGGGUCCCAGUGGUGACGUUUUAAUGGGAUUUGGUUUAGUUUUUGUUUAGUCACAAUGUGUGUAUAUAUAUAUAUAUGUAUCUUUGUGGUCUGACGGAAAGGGACCAGCCGAAGUAGGAAGAGAAGUGGGAAAAGGAAAUUGAUAAUGAUAUUUGUGGGGCCCACGUUGACUAAACCUUGUGCAUAUAACCUCAUAUAGUUGAAUUCAUAGUCAUUCUCUUCUUCUCAUUAUGGCAGUAUGCUCUCUUUCUCUACAGAUUCAAUCUCUCUCUAAAUCUAAGCACUUCUAGCCUUGAUUCUUCUAUUUUUCUUUGAGAUUUUGAUCUUGCCAUAGAAGGCAAAGUUGACGAGCGUGUUGAGAGCUUUGUGUUGAUGGGAGCAAAGCCUUAUUUGGGCCACUUUCAGAUUUUCAAAUUUGGGGUUCUCUUUGGGAUUUUCUUCAUUUCUUGAGGAUACGAAAAGGAAGUGGCAGACUGUAAUACCCCUAAUUUUAAAAGGAUAGUCCUGGUGUUCGUCAGUUCCAAGGUUAGAGUUUGGAUGUGCAGUGCAGUGCAGAUACAGACAUUCAUUCCUCCGACUACGUUUGGGCCUGGGCCUGAUCAACCCGUGUCUCGGAUCCGAGGGGUAUCACACAGACGAUGCUCUUCCACAGGUUUUGAUGGGAUACGGAAAGGAAGUGGUGGACGACGUUUCUCCACAGGUUUUGAUGGCUCCAAACUUACUAAGCAGGGUUAAGCUUUUCAGAGUGGAUAUGGGCUUUACAUGAAAGUCAUCAGUUAUCAUGAACCUUGAGGUUCCUGCAGUAAAUUUCAGCUGCACUUCGAGGACGAAGCAGCAAGUCCUUGCACUUCACACUUUGUAGAUGUUCCUUGUCAAGAUUCUCAACACUUUCAUAUAAGUUGUUCAAACAACCAAAGUCCACUUCUAGUGACUGUUCGUGGGCAAGUCUCAGAAUGUUUCCAAUAGUCAUAGUCAUGAAGCUGAAGAGAACGUCAACAAAAUCCUUAUUGAACUCGGCAAAAACAAAUUGAUUUUUCUAUUUUCCACCAUCACCUUCAGAAUUAGACUUUGUAAUGCUUUGCUUGCCAUCAUUUGAAGGGGACAAAAAAAAUGGACAGUUAUUUGGCGGAUAGUUAUAUUGGCAAAAUUCAGCUUGUAUGUCAAUGAAUGUAACCUGCAUCAAAGUUUCAUAUAACAUUAGAAUUUGACCUCUCUUUCCCAACACCCUGCCUUCCUGGUGCAGGUGAAGCGUCAAGAAAUCAUUCGAUGAAAAUAAUUCCUAGACCGUCUUAACCACGAAUGGCGUGGAAUUAUACCCCCUCUGAAUAAUCAAACCUCGAGUACUGAACUAUAACCAUGUUCUAUGAUCUCACAGCUUACAAAGGUGGUUAGGAAAAACAAGAGACCGAAACUGUAUGAACUUUUACUCAUAAUUGAUUACAAAGUAUGCACAUCAGUCCUGGGAUUUUAGACUCAAAAUUACACAGAACCUAAAACCAUUUUGGCACUGUGAGCUGAAAAUUUGACACCUUUGAUAUGAUGCAACACCGCCAAUACACAUAUCCAAGCAAAGGCCCAGAAAAAGAAGUCAGCAUUAGAAGGAGAUACCAUUAUCCAUUAAAUGCCCUGCCAAUUGGUGGAGAACAACUUCUCUUCUCCUCCAAUUGCAAUCAUGGGACUCACCUAUGUGCCUCUUCUCUACAGUCAUGUUGAAAAUAAAAUAAAAAACAAAUACAAAAACAAAAAAAGCCAAAAUUAGGUUCUUUUCCUUUCCUUUUCUCUUUACCGUCUAUACUUCUCUGUUCCUGACAACUAAGCAGAAC
Long non-coding RNA from Cornus florida, 2679 nucleotides. RefSeq lists it as uncharacterized. NCBI's taxonomy places the organism in Eukaryota, Viridiplantae, Streptophyta, Magnoliopsida, Cornales, Cornaceae. The record is from RefSeq and is a predicted model, not a curated record. The transcript is spliced from 7 exons.